Long non-coding RNA from Andrographis paniculata, 2176 nucleotides. RefSeq lists it as uncharacterized. The record is from RefSeq and is a predicted model, not a curated record. Lineage: Eukaryota; Viridiplantae; Streptophyta; Magnoliopsida; Lamiales; Acanthaceae. The transcript is spliced from 3 exons.
UACAGAGAGAGACUGUUGUUCAAAGCAAGGUGUGGUUUCCAUUUGCAUUUGUCGGAAAAUAUCCAAAAGGGUCCCCAAAUGGAUUCGUAGACCACAUUGGCUGCUGCUGCUGCUGCUGCUGUGUUCCCGGCGAAUACGUCGAAUGGAUUUCCCUGGGGGUAGCCGCCGCUGCUGUAUCCACCGGCCCUCUGCAUCUGCAGCUGCCUGCGCGAAGCCUCGUCGUCGUACAGGCUGUCCAGCAACAGCUUGUCGAAGCCGCCACCCUGCAUGCCACUCGACAAUAAUUAGGGUUAGGGUUAGGGUUAAUCAAUAUUGUCAAUUAUCAGAAAGAAGACAUGUAGAUCUAGUAGACAGAGGAGACGGACCAUCUUGGUUUCGGCUACUUGAGGAGGUCUGGUCAUGUUGCUGGGCUGCGUCACCAGCGCCAGCUCCCAUCCCGUGCUCUCGGCCAGAGGAGCCUUGUUGUCGGAGGAGGAGGAGGACAGCAAAUCGUUGCCUGCGGGGAGGAAAGGAAUUGUAUAUAUAUUGUGAUCAUCUUCUUUGAUUGAUUGAUUAGUGUUACCGACCGGGUUGGAUGAUAGCGAGCGCCAGGGCGUUGCUUUCUUCGAUCUUCUUGGCUUCCGGGCUCAGUUCUCGCAGCAGUCCCUUCAUUAAUUAGGCCAAACAUAGAAUAGAGAUGAGAUUGAGAUUGUGAUGAGUAAAGCCAAGAAAGAAAGCAAGAAGGAAAGAAAAAAAGGUGGUGUAGAGAUGUUAGAACAUGUGCCAACAACAACUACAACUUACGAGCAGGUCAUCCUCUUCAUGGACUACUGCUGAUGGAGGAGGAUCCACCACUUUAGCAUCGGUGGAGGACACAUGUACAAUCUCCUCCUGUGAAUCCACACCUGCUCCUGGAGUCUCGGUCUCUACUUCUUUCACUUCCUCUUCAGGUUCCUCCGCUGUUUCGGGCUCUUCAUUUGUGUUCUGUUGCUGUUAAGGAAAGGAAAGGAACAUUGCCGACCGAAUAUGAUCAAAUUUCAUCAUCGCUUCUGUUAUAUAAAAAUCAACUAGGAAAAUUAUAUGAUCCUCUCACCAUCUUCUCUCGGGGUGCUUCCUUGAUAUAUUCCUCCAUGGUUGCAAGGAAUGAGGGAGGAGGCUGGCGAGUUCAACAGCAUAGAAUCAUCAGGAAACAACAACAUCAACAAGCCCAACAUCGGAUUUUCUCUUUUUCUUUUCUUUUCUUUUCUUUUCUUUUCAAGUUAGAAAUGAAAUGAUGAACCUGUCUUAAUGUGGGGAAGUGAAAUGUGUGAGCAAGAUCCAGAGUUUUGCAGAAGCUGUAGAAAUCGGCUAGUUGGUCUGCCUAUAGAAAGAACAUAAAGAUCAGUUCGCAUGCAUUCAACGAUUCCAUAAGAGAGGUAUAGCCUAUAGGUAGAGAACAAACAAACGACCUGUCUCCCAGCUCUUUUGUAGAUGUCCAGAGCUUUAAUGGCUUCAUGCUUAGGCAUCUCAAAAUACUGCAAAACGAGAGAGAGAGAGAGAACGUUAUGAACAAUGCUUGGUUAAGAUGCCGGCAAGGCCACCGAGGGGAACACGAAACAUUCAUGCUUACCAUAUCCACAAGAUUAACGAUCCCAUCAUUGAUGGAACAGUACACUUUGAAGCUCUCCUUGACAACCUGUUUCAUUGGGCAGCAAAUGCAGUUAGUCCGAACAAACGAGCCAGCUAGGCAUCCGAUCGGCUUUCAACGAAUUCAGUGUUUACCAGAGCAAAGGCGUAUUGGAUGAGAAAGUUGCGGCAGGCAAGUCCUUCAGGCUGCAAGAGAUGAGGUUGGUUGGUUAUAAGCCAUAACCGUAAAACAAAAGAUGAUUGGAACUAUGGCAUCCGAGCAUUACUUGGCAACAGAGUAGGCGGUACAGAAGCUGCUGCAGUGAAGGAUGUCGAGGAACAGACAGCGCAAUUGCUGAAGAAGAAGAAGCAUUACUUACUUUGGGCGCCCCUGGUUUCGACACUCUGUCAGCCUCAAUAUCGAAGUGCAGUGCUCUUAAGCACUCGAGUCUUUCCUCUAGAAAGAGCGCGUAUGCACGGACCCAGGCAGAGCAAUCCCAAGCUGCAUCAGAAGAAGAUAUGUUUAAUCCAUUCAAAAACAUGUUGUUGUGAUUAUGGAAAAUGAUUCACUGGCUGGGUCUUCACCUAGACU